Molecule: transfer RNA, 68 nt
Filed under: Marmota monax (woodchuck)
Lineage: Eukaryota; Metazoa; Chordata; Mammalia; Rodentia; Sciuridae
Description: tRNA.Ala
Rfam family: tRNA
About the family: Transfer RNA (tRNA) molecules are approximately 80 nucleotides in length. Their secondary structure includes four short double-helical elements and three loops (D, anti-codon, and T loops).
Source: RNAcentral
GAAUAUAGCUCAGUUGGUAGAGUGCUUACCUUGCAUGCACAAGACCCUGGGUUCAACCCCCAGUAUCA